GCGCCCAUAGCUCAAUGGAUAGAGUACCGGACUUCGAAUCCGUAGGUUGCAGGUUCGACCCCUGCUGGGCGCA
This 73-nucleotide transfer RNA is filed under the name Chloroflexota bacterium. RNAcentral describes it as "Chloroflexi bacterium (anaerobic digester metagenome) tRNA-Arg". It matches the Rfam family "tRNA". Rfam says of the family: Transfer RNA (tRNA) molecules are approximately 80 nucleotides in length. Their secondary structure includes four short double-helical elements and three loops (D, anti-codon, and T loops). Further hydrogen bonds mediate the characteristic L-shaped molecular structure. tRNAs have two regions of fundamental functional importance: the anti-codon, which is responsible for specific mRNA codon recognition, and the 3' end, to which the tRNAs corresponding amino acid is attached (by aminoacyl-tRNA synthetases). tRNAs cope with the degeneracy of the genetic code in two manners: having more than one tRNA (with a specific anti-codon) for a particular amino acid; and 'wobble' base-pairing, i.e. permitting non-standard base-pairing at the 3rd anti-codon position. Lineage: Bacteria; Bacillati; Chloroflexota. The record is from RNAcentral.